AUUCCAGCUCCAAUAGCGUAUAUUUAAGUUGUUGCAGUUAAAAAGCUCGUAGUUGGAUUUCGGGUGAGGAUGACCGGUCUGCCGUUGCGGUACGCACUGGACGUUUUCAUCUUGUUGUCGGGGACGCGCUUCUGGGCUUCACUGUUCGGGACGCGGAGUCGGCGCUGUUACUUUGAAAAAAUUAGAGUGUUCAAAGCAGGCAAUCGCUCUGAAUACAUUAGCAUGGAAUAACGCUAUAGGACUCUGGUCCUAUUGUGUUGGUCUUCGGGACCGGAGUAAUGAUUAAGAGGGACAGUUGGGGGCAUUCGUGUUUCAUUGUCAGAGGUGAAAUUCUUGGAUUUAUGAAAGACGAACUUCUGCGAAAGCAUUUGCCAAGGAUGUUUUCAUUA
Molecule: ribosomal RNA, 389 nt
Filed under: Pyramimonadales sp.
Lineage: Eukaryota; Viridiplantae; Chlorophyta; Pyramimonadophyceae; Pyramimonadales
Description: partial small subunit ribosomal RNA
Rfam family: Eukaryotic small subunit ribosomal RNA
Source: RNAcentral